GUUUUGCAGCAUAUUCAUCCUGAGGUUGUUCUUCUGCAAAUCUGAAUUCCAUGUUUCCGAUAUCCUGUAGUUCCUUAAAUAUCCAUUCUUGCGGUGAAAGUUGAUAUAGUAACUUAAGGUAUUGAUAAAUGACGCCAAUGAUUUCAAAAAUCUGCCAAAAAAAUAUAUCAAGAGCAUGAUAAGAUUAGUAAAGCAAGCUAAAAAUAAAAGAUCUUGUUCAUCAAUAAACAAUCAUCACAGUCAAAUCGCCAGAUAGGGCAUUGCCACUACCAAGAGUUAUAAGUGAUCAUAAAUAAUAGACCAUGCAUUGGUGAGGGCAUCAAAGUGACAACACAGUCAAACAUAUGCAGUUUCAUUUACCUUCUUUCAAGAAAACAUGAAAACAAGAGGAAGAGGUAAAAUCAAAGAAGUGGACAGGAAGGAGAAAUCAAUAUUUGAUGAAAGUAGACAUGUGGUGGGUGUGUGAAUAGGAAUGCGUAUAAAGUUCUUCAAUGCUCUCUGAGUCUAUCAACUAAGCAGUCUAGAACUUUCCAUUGAUAAGAGAGACCAUAGCAGUUGAUAUAUGAUACUCCCUACAAGUCUCAUGACUAAUAAAAACAUCUUGAGAUGAGCACAUAAUUAACUUGCAUCAAUUACAUCACCUGAAAUUCCUCAAAGGAAACAAAAUCUUAUAUAGAGUUGGUCUUCAAGAGAACAAGGACUAUGCCACACAGAAACAAACUCAAUAUUUAGGAAAUGUAACUGUCUUCUAAUAUCCAACAGAUAAGUAGAACGGAAAACAUAGUAC
This 787-nucleotide unclassified non-coding RNA is filed under the name Hevea brasiliensis (rubber tree). Lineage: Eukaryota; Viridiplantae; Streptophyta; Magnoliopsida; Malpighiales; Euphorbiaceae. The record is from RNAcentral.